Pan troglodytes (chimpanzee) is the source of this 148-nucleotide non-coding RNA. It matches the Rfam family "Metazoan signal recognition particle RNA". Rfam says of the family: The signal recognition particle (SRP) is a universally conserved ribonucleoprotein. It is involved in the co-translational targeting of proteins to membranes. The eukaryotic SRP consists of a 300-nucleotide 7S RNA and six proteins: SRPs 72, 68, 54, 19, 14, and 9. NCBI's taxonomy places the organism in Eukaryota, Metazoa, Chordata, Mammalia, Primates, Hominidae. The record is from Rfam.
GCCAGGCACAGUGGUGUGUGCCUGUAGUCCCAGCUACUGCGGAGGCUGAGGUGGGAGGAUUGCUUGAGCCCAGGAGGUGGAGGCUGUAGUGAGCCCUGAUUGCACCCCUGCACUCCAGUCUGGGCAACAGAGCGAGACCCCACCUCAA